GAUGAACGCUAGCGGCAGGCCUAACACAUGCAAGUCGAGGGAGAAGCCCUUUCGGGGGCAGAAACCGGCGCACGGGUGCGUAACGCGUAUGCAACCUACCUUUCACAGGGGGAUAGCCCGAAGAAAUUUGGAUUAAUACCCCAUAAUAUUAUUGGAUGGCAUCAUUUGAUAAUUAAAACUGCGGUGGUGAAAGAUGGGCAUGCGUCCUAUUAGCUAGUUGGAGUGGUAACGGCACCCCAAGGCUACGAUAGGUAGGGGUCCUGAGAGGGAGAUCCCCCACACUGGUACUGAGACAGGGACCAGACUCCUACGGGAGGCAGCAGUGAGGAAUAUUGGUCAAUGGUCGGGAGACUGAACCAGCCAUGCCGCGUGCAGGAAGAAUGCCUUAUGGGUUGUAAACUGCUUUUAUAUGGGAAGAAUAAGGCGUACGUGUACGUUGAUGACGGUACCAUAUGAAUAAGCAUCGGCUAACUCCGUG
This 478-nucleotide ribosomal RNA is filed under the name uncultured bacterium. Its description in RNAcentral is "partial 16S ribosomal RNA". It matches the Rfam family "Bacterial small subunit ribosomal RNA", at positions 28 to 507 of the family's 1533-position model. The record is from RNAcentral.